GAUGGACGCUGGCGGCGUGCCUAAUACAUGCAAGUCGAGCGAACGGACGAGAAGCUUGCUUCUCUGAUGUUAGCGGCGGACGGGUGAGUAACACGCGGAUAACCUACCUAUAAGACUGGGAUAACUUCGGGAAACCGUAGCUAAUACCGGAUAAUAUUUUGAACCGCAUGGUUCAAAAGUGAAAGACGGUCUUGCUGUCACUUAUAGAUGGAUCCGCGCUGCAUUAGCUAGUUGGUAAGGUAACGGCUUACCAAGGCAACGAUGCAUAGCCGACCUGAGAGGGUGAUCGGCCACACUGGAACUGAGACACGGUCCAGACUCCUACGGGAGGCAGCAGUAGGGAAUCUUCCGCAAUGGGCGAAAGCCUGACGGAGCAACGCCGCGUGAGUGAUGAAGGUCUUCGGAUCGUAAAACUCUGUUAUUAGGGAAGAACAUAUGUGUAAGUAACUGUGCACAUCUUGACGGUACCUAAUCAGAAAGCCACGGCUAACUACGUG
RNAcentral lists this ribosomal RNA (497 nucleotides) under uncultured bacterium. RNAcentral's name for it is "partial 16S ribosomal RNA". It matches the Rfam family "Bacterial small subunit ribosomal RNA", at positions 28 to 507 of the family's 1533-position model. The record is from RNAcentral.